AUUGAACGCUGGCGGCAUGCCUUACACAUGCAAGUCGAACGGCAGCACGGGUGCUUGCACCUGGUGGCGAGUGGCGAACGGGUGAGUAAUAUAUCGGAACGUACCUUAUUGUGGGGGAUAACGCAGCGAAAGCUGUGCUAAUACCGCAUAAUCCCUAAGGGGGAAAGCGGGGGACCGUAAGGCCUCGCGCAAUUAGAGCGGCCGAUACCUGAUUAGCUAGUUGGUGAGGUAGAGGCUCACCAACGCAACGAUCAGUAGCUGGUCUGAGAGGACGAUCAGCCACACUGGGACUGAGACACGGCCCAGACUCCUACGGGAGGCAGCAGUGGGGAAUUUUGGACCAUGGGGGCAACACUGAUCCAGCAAUGCCGCGUGAGUGAAGAAGGCCUUCGGGUUGUAAAGCUCUUUUGUCAGGGAAGAAACAGCAGCUCUAACACAGUAUGCGAAUGACGGUACCUGAAGAAUAAGCACCGGCUAACUACGUGCCAGCCGCCGCGGUAA
Molecule: ribosomal RNA, 501 nt
Filed under: uncultured bacterium
Lineage: Bacteria
Description: partial 16S ribosomal RNA
Rfam family: Bacterial small subunit ribosomal RNA
Source: RNAcentral